UGAGGAACAUGACCUUCGGCGGGGGAUAGCCGGCCCAACGGCCGGGUAAUACCGCGUACGACCACAUGGGGACAUCCCUGAGUGGUGAAAGCAGCAAUGCGCCGAUGGAGUGCCUCGCGGCCUAUCAGCUAGUUGGUGAGGUAACGGCUCACCAAGGCGACGACGGGUAGCUGGUCUGAGAGGAUGGCCAGCCACAUUGGGACUGAGACACCGGCCCAGACCUNUACCGGGAGG
RNAcentral lists this ribosomal RNA (234 nucleotides) under uncultured bacterium. RNAcentral's name for it is "partial 16S ribosomal RNA". It matches the Rfam family "Bacterial small subunit ribosomal RNA", at positions 118 to 348 of the family's 1533-position model. The record is from RNAcentral.